GACGAACGCUGGCGGCGUGCUUAACACAUGCAAGUCGAGCGGUAAGGCCUUUCGGGGUCCACGAGCGGCGAACGGGUGAGUAACACGUGGGUGAUCUGCCCUGCACUUCGGGAUAAGCCUGGGAAACUGGGUCUAAUACCGGAUAUGACCUCCUAUCGCAUGGUGGGUGGUGGAAAGAUUUAUCGGUGCAGGAUGGGCCCGCGGCCUAUCAGCUUGUUGGUGGGGUAAUGGCCUACCAAGGCGACGACGGGUAGCCGACCUGAGAGGGUGACCGGCCACACUGGGACUGAGACACGGCCCAGACUCCUACGGGAGGCAGCAGUGGGGAAUAUUGCACAAUGGGCGAAAGCCUGAUACAGCGACGCCGCGUGAGGGAUGACGGCCUUCGGGUUGUAAACCUCUUUCAGCAGGGACGAAGCGCAAGUGACGGUACCUGCAGAAGAAGCACCGGCUAACUACGUG
RNAcentral lists this ribosomal RNA (462 nucleotides) under uncultured bacterium. Its description in RNAcentral is "partial 16S ribosomal RNA". It matches the Rfam family "Bacterial small subunit ribosomal RNA", at positions 28 to 507 of the family's 1533-position model. The record is from RNAcentral.